This 476-nucleotide ribosomal RNA is filed under the name uncultured Erysipelothrix sp. RNAcentral's name for it is "bacterial SSU rRNA". It matches the Rfam family "Bacterial small subunit ribosomal RNA", at positions 901 to 1382 of the family's 1533-position model. Lineage: Bacteria; Bacillati; Bacillota; Erysipelotrichia; Erysipelotrichales; Erysipelotrichaceae. The record is from RNAcentral.
UCAAAGGAAUUGACGGGACCCCGCACAAGCGGUGGAUUAUGUUGUUUAAUUCGACGCAACGCGAAGAACCUUACCAGGCCUUGACAUACUCGGCAAAGCUCUAGAGAUAGAGUGGAGGUUAUCCGGGAUACAGGUGGUGCAUGGUUGUCGUCAGCUCGUGUCGUGAGAUGUUGGGUUAAGUCCCGCAACGAGCGCAACCCUUGUCUUUAGUUACCAUCAUUCAGUUGGGGACUCUAGAGAGACUGCCGGUGAUAAACCGGAGGAAGGUGGGGAUGACGUCAAAUCAUCAUGCCCCUUAUGGCCUGGGCUACAAACGUAAUACAAUGGCGUAUACAAAGGGAUGCGAAAGGGCGACCUGGAGCAAAACUCACAAAGUACGUCUCAGUUCGGAUUGAAGUCUGCAACUCGACUUCAUGAAGUCGGAAUCGCUAGUAAUCGCGGAUCAGCAUGCCGCGGUGAAUACGUUCCCGGGCCUU